GAUGAACGCUGGCGGCGUGCCUAAUACAUGCAAGUCGAGCGAACAGACGAGGAGCUUGCUCCUCUGACGUUAGCGGCGGACGGGUGAGUAACACGUGGAUAACCUACCUAUAAGACUGGGAUAACUUCGGGAAACCGGAUCUAAUACCGGAUAAUAUAUUGAACCGCAUGGUUCAAUAGUGAAAGACGGUUUUGCUGUCACUUAUAGAUGGAUCCGCGUCGCAUUAGCUAGUUGGUAAGGUAACGGCUUACCAAGGCAACGAUGCGUAGCCGACCUGAGAGGGUGAUCGGCCACACUGGAACUGAGACACGGUCCAGACUCCUACGGGAGGCAGCAGUAGGGAAUCUUCCGCAAUGGGCGAAAGCCUGACGGAGCAACGCCGCGUGAGUGAUGAAGGUCUUCGGAUCGUAAAACUCUGUUAUUAGGGAAGAACAAAUGUGUAAGUAACUAUGCACGUCUUGACGGUACCUAAUCAGAAAGCCACGGCUAACUACGUG
RNAcentral lists this ribosomal RNA (497 nucleotides) under uncultured bacterium. Its description in RNAcentral is "partial 16S ribosomal RNA". It matches the Rfam family "Bacterial small subunit ribosomal RNA", at positions 28 to 507 of the family's 1533-position model. The record is from RNAcentral.